RNA transcript from Zingiber officinale, 1094 nucleotides. RefSeq lists it as uncharacterized. The transcript has 3 exons. Lineage: Eukaryota; Viridiplantae; Streptophyta; Magnoliopsida; Zingiberales; Zingiberaceae. The record is from RefSeq and is a predicted model, not a curated record.
UACACCUCGCCAUGGCUUUGCCCGCACUGGCUUUGGCUUACUUGGGAGGACGAGAUAUCCUACCGAGGCGAGAUGAGGAGAUUAGAGGGCAAGGUCGCGAUCGUCACGGCCUCCACCCAAGAUCGGCUUUGCCAUCGCCGAGCGCCUGGGCCUCGAGGGCGGCACCGUCGUCGUCUCCUCCCGGAAGCAGGUCUGCUUCGCCCCUCUUUUGUACGGCUACAAUUUCUUUGUAUUUGGUAAGUUAUUGUUUAGCCAUCGAUCGGCGUUUCCUCGUUUGGGAGAACAAAAUAACGUUGAUGAGGCGGUGGAGAAGCUUCGGUCGAAGGGAAUCGAGGUGAUAGGGGCAGUAUGUCAUGUGUCGAAUCCGCAGCACCGGAAGGAUCUCAUGGAGAAGACCGUCCAGAAGGAAAGACUGGAGAAUAUUGGUACCAUGAAGAUACACAAGCCUACUUUAAUGAUGCUGACCAUUACAAGAUGGUAAAAGCGAUGUGUCGCCUUUCCUGUAGCAUCUGUGACAAGAAUUCUGAGAGUCAAGGUGGUGAGGGCACAAAGAGGAGAACAAGAUUUAGGAGCAUAGAACAAUUAAAUGGCUAUUUAAGGCAUCAACACAACUUAUUGACAUGCAACCUAUGCUUGGAAGGAAGGAAGGUGAUUUAACAUAAAAAUGUUUUUUUGUGACUUAUUACUGUGUAUGAGUAUCCUUAAUCAACUGGGGAAGAUUAAAUUUCUUAAUUGCUUGAUUGCAGUUUACAUGCCAGCAUUGAAUCCGAUUCCAAAUAAUUAACCUGUUUUCUUAGUGCUUCUGUCGAAAGAGCCAAAGAGGCACUAAAUUUCAUUGUGACUUUUUUGCUCACAGUACGGAUACACACAGUUCAAAAAGCUGGAAUAGACCAGCCUGUUUGAUUAGAUAAUUGAGGAUGCAUAUAUAGACUAAUUAUAUUUUUUUGUGUAGUUUUUGUUAAAUUUUGAUUAUCAUCAAUGUUAAGAAGGAGAUUAAUUUUUUGUUGGAUCCUCUUAGUCAUCGCAUUCGUGAUCAAGAUUGGAAAUAUGUUGUCAACAUGGCCUUGAAAUAAUGCGGAGACGGGAAGAAAAGG